This 239-nucleotide ribosomal RNA is filed under the name uncultured Lactobacillus sp. RNAcentral describes it as "partial 16S ribosomal RNA". It matches the Rfam family "Bacterial small subunit ribosomal RNA", at positions 125 to 354 of the family's 1533-position model. Lineage: Bacteria; Bacillati; Bacillota; Bacilli; Lactobacillales; Lactobacillaceae. The record is from RNAcentral.
CCGUAGCCCAAGAGAUCGGGAUAACACCUGGAAACAGAUGCUAAUACCGGAUAAUAACAGAUGAUGCCUAUCAACUGUUUAAAAGAUGGUUCUGCUAUCACUCUUGGAUGGACCUGCGGUGCAUUAGCUAGUUGGUAGGGUAACGGCCUACCAAGGCGAUGAUGCAUAGCCGAGUUGAGAGACUGAUCGGCCACAUUGGGACUGAGACACGGCCCAAACUCCUACGGGAGGCAGCAGAG